RNAcentral lists this small nuclear RNA (104 nucleotides) under Prolemur simus (greater bamboo lemur). Lineage: Eukaryota; Metazoa; Chordata; Mammalia; Primates; Lemuridae. The record is from RNAcentral.
GUGCUGGCUUUGGCAGCACACAUACUAAACUUGGAACGAUACAGAUAUUAGCAUGGCCCCUAUGCAAGGAUGACAUGCAAAUUCAUGAAGCGUUCCAUAUUUAA